Picea glauca (white spruce) is the source of this 121-nucleotide non-coding RNA. The record is from Rfam. NCBI's taxonomy places the organism in Eukaryota, Viridiplantae, Streptophyta, Pinopsida, Pinales, Pinaceae.
ACAUGACUACAACAUAGCAUUGAUGCAUUGGAUCCCAAUAGAACUCUGUAGUUAAGUGUGCUCAGACUAGAGCAAUGUUGGGAUGGGUGAUCGCCCGGAAAGUCUUAGUGUUUUACAUGCC